CUGGCAUUAAAUGCUGGGCUUUUAUUGGGGUCAUAAAUCACUGGCAUCAUGUACAUGUACAUUAUACUUACAAAUGUAGGACCUAAAUUAGAUACAGGGAAGUCUUAAAAGAUUCAGAACUAUUACAAACUUUUAGUUGGCCAUCAGAACCACCACACUGUCUGGUCCACUACAUUCUAAAUUGAUAGACCUACAUGUACAUGUACUUUGGUUUUUGGACUUUGGUUUUUGGACAAACAGUACAAGUUUUUGACCAAGAUGAAGAAUUGCUAAAAAUAUACCCACUUAGGGCAGUCAGUGGGCCCCCCUUAUAAAAAUUGAUGGAUCCGCCUCUGUCCCCACCCUAUCUAAACCGUUCAUGUCGUAAAAUUAGAAUAGACCUUAAACCUGCACUGUGCAGUAUGCCAUGUAUGCAGUGUACACUGAAGUCAGUAUUGUACCAAUAUUUGAUAAGCAGAAAUUUCUGUAGUCAGUGGCCCCCCUUAUAAAAAUUUAUGGAUCCGCCACUGUCCCCACCC
Molecule: long non-coding RNA, 518 nt
Filed under: Mytilus galloprovincialis (Mediterranean mussel)
Lineage: Eukaryota; Metazoa; Mollusca; Bivalvia; Mytilida; Mytilidae
Source: RNAcentral